RNAcentral lists this small RNA (91 nucleotides) under Flavobacterium frigidimaris. RNAcentral describes it as "Flavo-1 RNA". It matches the Rfam family "Flavo-1 RNA". The record is from RNAcentral. Lineage: Bacteria; Pseudomonadati; Bacteroidota; Flavobacteriia; Flavobacteriales; Flavobacteriaceae.
CCCUAGCCCCGAUAGUAGUAAAAAUCCUUUUGUGCCGGUCCCGAUAGCUAUCGGGAGAAACAAAAGAUUGGAACGGACAGCGGGAAAUAGC